UCGAAGACAUUAUUAUUUUUUUUUUCUUGAAAACCCUAGUUUUGCUCCAUUAGAGAGAAAUAUAUUCAAGUCGGCAGAUCUGAUCAGUUCGAAUGGAGAGAAUCAUCGGAGGUAAAUACAAGCUCGGUCGGAAGAUCGGUAGCGGUUCUUUCGGAGAAAUCUAUCUAGCUACUCAUGUUGAUUCGUUUGAGAUCGUCGCAGUGAAGAUCGAAAACAGUAAGACAAGACAUCCUCAACUGUUUUACGAGGCCAAGUUGUACAAAGUUUUGCAAGGAGGAAGUGGCGUUGCUAGUAUUAGAUGGUCUGGAGUUGAUGGGGAAGAUAAUACACUUGUGUUGGAUCUAUUGGGUCCAAGUCUUGAAGAUCUAUUUGUCUACUGUGGAAGGAAGUUCUCUCCUAAGACAGUCAUGAUGCUAGCUGAUCAGAUGAUUACAAGAAUAGAGUAUGUACAUUCCAAAGGAUUUCUGCAUAGAGACAUUAAACCUGAUAACUUCCUCAUGGGCCUUAGUCGCAAAGCAAAUCAGGUGUAUAUUAUUGACUUUGGACUUGCAAAAAGAUAUCGGGACCAAGGAACCAACCGUCAUAUUCCUUACAGGGAGAAUAAAAACUUGACAGGCACUGCACGUUAUGCAAGCUGUAAUACUCAUCUUGGAAUUGAACAAAGUCGUAGAGAUGAUCUAGAGUCGCUUGGAUAUGUACUUCUAUAUUUCUUGAGAGGAAGCCUUCCGUGGCAAGGUUUAAAAGCUGCAACAAAGAAGCAAAAGUAUGACAAAAUAUGUGAGAAGAAAUUGGCGACCCCUAUUGAGGUUUUAUGCAAGUCAUAUCCGGUGGAGUUUGCUUCGUACAUGCAUUACUGCCAUUCGUUGAAUUUUGAUCAGAGACCUGAUUAUGGAUUCUUGAAGCGAUUAUUCCGUGAGUUGUUCAGUCGCGAAGGAUAUGAGUUUGAUUUCGUAUUUGAUUGGACCAUCUUAAAAUACCAGCAGUCACAAAAGAGCAAACCUCAGCCACCCCCACUUCCUGCUGAGGGCAACAGUGGAGCAACUGUAACUGAUGUCGAUAAGCAUCAAGGCAAUCAUGCAUCAUAUUCCAUGGGGAUUUCAGAUCAGACGAAGCUAGGGAAUGGUGCUGGUCAAGCCAUCCGCAUGCAAUUUAAGCCACCUACAACAGGAAAUUCGAACUUUGACAAUCCCUUGAAGAGAAAUAUAUUGAGCAAUUCAGACUUGCCAUCAACAUCAUAUUCUCCUCCUGUAGUCUCUAAACAGAAAGCCUCAAGACCUGCUGAAAACAACACCAGUUCUUCUCAUGCUACUAAUGGUGAUAAUACUCGUCCUUCAAGCAGCUGGAUUCCAUCUCUCCACCGAAUUUCUUCUGCAAAAUGAUGAGUGCUUCAGAUGAAAAGAAAUCUGAUAUCAGCGAUAGUGAUAGUAGGUGGCUGGCGGAGGAAACCGUGACUGCUUUUGCUCUCACUCAACUCAGUAUGUAUGUCAGCAAGGUUAAGGAAAAGCCCAACUGCCAGUGAAGGAACUUGGUAUAUCAUCAUCUCACUCUGCAGCCAGUCAUCCAGGUCUUGUGUCUUUGUUCACAACAAGAAUAGAGACUGAAAGGCGCAUCCGACAACAUCUUACCAAAUUAAAUGCAAUGGCUUGCCGGUUUAUGCAUAUAGAUUCUCGAGAAAAAAUGGUAAGUAGUUUGUAGGUGUCUUUAAGAUGAGUUGAUGGUAAGUAAGUGGUUGGCUUUUUGAUCUGGACUCUUCUUAGUGAAAUCAAUAUGUUGAUGAUAUUGGAAUUCUUUCCAGUUGACCAGAGCAAGAAUUGUGGCAUUCACGAAAAAGUUUGGUAAUGUUCUAUUUACUUUCUCUCCUUCAUUAUGUCACACUUAAUCAUUCCCCAAG
Molecule: RNA transcript, 1891 nt
Organism: Impatiens glandulifera
Lineage: Eukaryota; Viridiplantae; Streptophyta; Magnoliopsida; Ericales; Balsaminaceae
Gene name: casein kinase 1-like protein 3
Exons: 17
Source: RefSeq, a predicted model, not a curated record